RNAcentral lists this ribosomal RNA (2927 nucleotides) under Caldisericia bacterium. RNAcentral's name for it is "23S ribosomal RNA". It matches the Rfam family "Bacterial large subunit ribosomal RNA". The record is from RNAcentral. Lineage: Bacteria; Pseudomonadati; Caldisericota; Caldisericia.
GUGAAAGCGAACAAGAGCACACAGUGGAUGCCUUGGCACACGACGACGAUGAAGGACGCAGCAAGCCAGCGAAAGUGAUCGGUGAGGUGCAAACAACCGUUAUACCCGAUCGUCUCCGAAUGAGGCAACUCAAAAUAUCCCUAUUGGAAUAAAUAAAAAUAGGGAAGUUAACCAGGGGAACUGAAACAUCUUAGUACCCUGAGGAAAAGAAAGUAAAUAACGAUUCCCCCAGUAGUGGCGAGCGAAAAGGGAACAGCCUAAACCGUUUGUACGCAUAGCAGUGGGCGUUGUACAUGCGGGGUAGUGAGACAGUUUAGGAUUGUCCACAACAAUCCAAGAAGUUACAAUAGGUUUUUGGUAGUCGAAUUGUAUGGAAAAACAAGCCACAGCAGGUGACAGCCCUGUAGACGAAACCAUAACCCUUCUUAACUGUUCUCGAGUACCACGGGACACGUGAAACCCUGUGGGAAUCCGGGAGGACCAUCUCCUAAGGCUAAAUACGUCGGUGACCGAUAGCGAACAAAGUACCGCGAGGGAAAGGUGAAAAGAACCCCGGGCAGGGGAGUGAAAUAGAAUCUGAAACUGUGUGUUUACAAGCAGUCGAAGCACAAUGCAGCAAUGCAAGUGCGACGGCGUGCCUAUUGAAGAAUUAGCCAACGAGUUAUAUUUUCAGGCGAGGUUAAAGAAAGAACAUUCUGGAGCCGCAGGGAAACCGAGUCUUAAUAGGGCGAUAGUCUGAAGGUAUAGACCCGAAGCCGUAGUGACCUACCCUUGGUCAGGUUGAAGUGGGGCUAACCCCCCAUGGAGGACCGAACGGGUUGUGGGAAAAAACACAUCCGAUGAACUGUGGGUAGCGGAGAAAUUCCAAUCGAACUCGGCUAUAGCUGGUUCUCCCCGAAAUGCAUUUAGGUGCAGCGUCGAUCCAUUAUCAGGUGGAGGUAGAGCACUGGAAAAGCUAGGGUCCUUACCAGGAUACCAAACUUUACCAAACUCCGAAUGCCAUCUGACGUACAUCGGCAGUGAGUCUGCGAGAGAUAACUUCCGUAGGCAAAAGGGAAACACCCCGGAUCGUCAGCUAAGGUCCCUAAUACAGGUUAAGUGAUAUGAAGGAAGUGAAAUUGCUAAAACAGCUAGUAUGUUGGCUUAGAAGCAGCCAUCAUUCAAAGAGUGCGUAACAGCUCACUAGUCUAGUGAUUUUGCGCCGAAGAUUAGCGGGUCUAAAACCUGUAACCGAAGCUACGGAUCAAUUUAUUGGUGGUAGGGGAGCGUUCCUAGUGUGGUGAAGCCAUACCGUAAGGAGUGGUGGAACGCUAGGAAGUGAGAAUGUUGGCUUAAGUAGCGCAAAGACAGGCGAGAAUCCUGUCCGCCGAAAAUCUAAGGUUUCCUGGGGAAGGCUUGUCCUCCCAGGGUUAGUCGGACCUAAGGCGAGGCCGAGAGGCGUAGUCGAAGGAUAAGCAGGUUAAUAUUCCUGUACCGUAGGCAAGGCGAUGGAAGAGAGAAGAAAGGUAAGUAGAGCAGGGUCUUGGUUAUCCCUGCAGAAACCAGUAGGAGUACCGGGUUGUUAAACGCACCGGGCAAUCUGAAGGCUAAACGAAAGUCUAUGAACUAAGCUUCCGAGAAAAACUUCCUAAGAUCAAAUGCCGGACCGUACCGCAAACCAACACAGGUAGGUAGGGAGAAAUCUCCUAAGGCGUACGAAAGAACCAUGAUCAAGGAACUAGGCAAAAUAACCCCGUAACUUCGGAAAAAGGGGUGCCACAGUAAAAUGUGGUUGCAAUAAAUUGAGUCAGGCGACUGUUUAACAAAAACACAGGUCUGUGCAAAGCUGCAAAGCGCAGUAUACAGGCUGACGCCUGCCCAGUGCUGGAAGGUUAAGAGGAGGAGUUAGCGCAAGCGAAGCUUUGAAUCGAAGCCCCAGUGAACGGCGGCCGUAACUCUAACGGUCCUAAGGUAGCGAAAUACCUCGUCGGGUAAGUUCCGACGCGCAUGAAUGGCGUAACGAUCUGACUGCUGUCUCGAUCGUGGAUUCGGUGAAAUAGCAGUGCCCGUGAAGAUGCGGGCUACUUGCGGCAGGACGGGAAGACCCCGUAGAGCUUUACUGUACCCUGGCAUUGGAACUUGAUUUGUUUUGUGCAGGAUAGGUGGGAGGCUUUGAAGCGAGAGCGCUAGCUUUCGUGGAGCCAUCGUUGAGAUACCACUCUUUUCAAAUUAGGUUUCUAACGCUUAGCCACAAACCAAUCUGGCAAGCGGACAAUGUCAGGCGGGCAGUUUGACUGGGGCGGUCGCCUCCAAAAAUGUAACGGAGGCGUUCAAAGGUCUACUCAGCGUGUUUGGAAAUCACGCAAAGAGUGCAAUGGCAUAAGUAGGCUUGACUGCUUAGAUUGACGGAUCAAGCAGAUGAGAAAUCAGGACAUAGUGACCCGACGGUGGCGCAUGGAAGCGCCGGAGCUCAACGGAUAAAAGUUACCUCGGGGAUAACAGGCUUAUUGCUCCCAAGCGUCCAUAGCGACGGGGCAGUUUGGCACCUCGAUGUCGGCUCGUCUCAUCCUGGGGCUGUAGUCGGUCCCAAGGGUUGGGCUGUUCUCCCAUUAAAGAGGCACGCGAGCUGGGUUCAGAACGUCGUGAGACAGUUCGGUCCUUAUCCGCCGCAAGCGUUGGAAAUUUGAGGGAAACCCCCUUUAGUACGAGAGGACCAAGGGGGAGGAACCGCUGAUGUACCUGUUGUCACACCAGUGGCACGCGCAGGGUAGUUAUGUUCCGUUUGAUAAGUACUGAAGGCAUCUAAGUACGAAGCAAUACCCAAGAUGAGAUUUCCGAGACGUUUAACGUAAUAAGGCCUCCGGAAGAUUACCGGGUAUAUAGGCGCAAGGUGUAAGUGCAGCAAUGUAUUGAGCUGAUGCGUCCUAAUAGGCCGAAAGCUUCCUUGC